Molecule: ribosomal RNA, 427 nt
Filed under: uncultured bacterium
Lineage: Bacteria
Description: partial 16S ribosomal RNA
Rfam family: Bacterial small subunit ribosomal RNA
Source: RNAcentral
UGGGGAAUAUUGGACAAUGGGCGAAAGCCUGAUCCAGCCAUGCCGCGUGUGUGAAGAAGGUCUUCGGAUUGUAAAGCACUUUAAGUUGGGAGGAAGGGCAUUAACCUAAUACGUUAGUGUUUUGACGUUACCGACAGAAUAAGCACCGGCUAACUCUGUGCCAGCAGCCGCGGUAAUACAGAGGGUGCACGCGUUAAUCGGAAUUACUGGGCGUAAAGCGCGCGUAGGUGGUUUGUUAAGUUGGAUGUGAAAUCCCCGGGCUCAACCUGGGAACUGCAUUCAAAACUGACUGACUAGAGUAUGGUAGAGGGUGGUGGGAUUUCCUGUGUAGCGGUGAUAUGCGUAGAUAUAGGAAGGAACACCAGUGGCGAAGGCGACCACCUGGACUAAUACUGACACUGAGGUGCGAAAGCGUGGGGAGCAAACA